This 1181-nucleotide unclassified non-coding RNA is filed under the name Hevea brasiliensis (rubber tree). The record is from RNAcentral. Lineage: Eukaryota; Viridiplantae; Streptophyta; Magnoliopsida; Malpighiales; Euphorbiaceae.
GUCAGGCUGCCAAAUCCAUGGUCUUAGCUAGGCUACCAGUCUCUCUAACACCUUUAAUCCUCCACAUAACAUGUCUAGCAUACCAAUCAAAGAAAAUAAACUAUGCUUAUAUAUUUGCAGCAUUAUAUAAAUCUACUGAAAGAUUAUUAUAAACUAUGCUUACAUAUAUGUAUGUAUGCAACACUUAUACACCAGAAUCCGAAGUUCAACUAAAACCAACGGUCAAAUUCUAAAAACAAAUUUGAAAAACAAACCACAUAAUUCACACAUCCUCCCGGAAAGCACACCAUCCAUUAUCAUCAUCUUACCUUCUCUUGUUCUUGCUUCCCAGCAACAAAGAUAAGUAAAAUAGAAUUCUGAAUAAGAAUCCCCAUGCCACCGUCACCCACAAGCAAUUCCACUUGCUUAGAUCGGUUAUUCCUUGUUGCUGUAGUAUAUCUGACCCUGUAGUUAAGCAUGUGGAGCUGUUUAUCGUCAUUCCUAAUGUAUUGCUCAUUGUUUGGAGUAAUCUCACUUUAACUGAGGUGGGCACUGACCCAAGUGGAGUAUUGUCGAAAAUUUGAACACCUCUGACAAAACACUUGGUGGGAUCGUGAAAUUCAUUUUGCAAAACUGCUUCGUAGGGGUAUUUCACAAGGGACAUGUAAUGAAACCAAAUCCAAUAAGGUGGGAUUCGAUCACGGUUCAUGAAGAAGCCACUGAAGAGAAGGAAAUAGGCUAAGAUGGCUACAACUAUUGUGUAACCGAGCAUAACAUGAGGAACGACGCCGGAUAGAAAUGUAACAAAGGAGUUUCCAGCCCAGAAGGAGGCAAAGAUGAUCAAGAAAUAAAAGAAGAAACCAGAAAAACCUCCGUCGAGCCCCACAGCCCAAAAUGUAAUGGCCGCGAAGGAAAAUGAAAGGAAAAUCAAGGAAGGUAAAGAAACCAGCGCAUGAGAUAGAACAUAAGAGGACCUUCUAUAAGCAUUGUAAGCAGUUUCUCUCAUGAAAAUGUACCUUUCUUGAAGGAAAACUGGAAGAGCAUCUGCACAAGUGUAGAAAGUAGUGGACAUGGCAAAUGCGAAAAACCCUAAUCUUUCUUGAACCCCUUUGGGUGAAUUAUCCAGCUGCCAAAACAUGGUAGCUAAAAUGAACCCAGUAACCAAAACUGCAACCAGUCGAAUUCCAAACAAUUCAGGCAUU